Molecule: ribosomal RNA, 495 nt
Filed under: uncultured bacterium
Lineage: Bacteria
Description: partial 16S ribosomal RNA
Rfam family: Bacterial small subunit ribosomal RNA
Source: RNAcentral
UGAACGCUGGCGGCGUGCCUAAUACAUGCAAGUCGAGCGAACAGAUGAGGAGCUUGCUCCUCUGACGUUAGCGGCGGACGGGCGAGUAACACGUGGAUAACCUACCUAUAAGACUGGGAUAACUUCGGGAAACCGGAGCUAAUACCGGAUAAUAUAUUGAACCGCAUGGUUCAAUAGUGAAAGACGGUUUUGCUGUCACUUAUAGAUGGAUCCGCGCCGCAUUAGCUAGUUGGUAAGGUAACGGCUUACCAAGGCAACGAUGCGUAGCCGACCUGAGAGGGUGAUCGGCCACACUGGAACUGAGACACGGUCCAGACUCCUACGGGAGGCAGCAGUAGGGAAUCUUCCGCAAAGGGCGAAAGCCUGACGGAGCAACGCCGCGUGAGUGAUGAAGGUCUUCGGAUCGUAAAACUCUGUUAUUAGGGAAGAACAAAUGUGUAAGUAACUAUGCACGUCUUGACGGUACCUAAUCAGAAAGCCACGGCUAACUACGUG